RNAcentral lists this ribosomal RNA (403 nucleotides) under uncultured bacterium. RNAcentral describes it as "bacterial SSU rRNA". It matches the Rfam family "Bacterial small subunit ribosomal RNA", at positions 30 to 429 of the family's 1533-position model. The record is from RNAcentral.
AGUGAACGCUGGCGGCAGGCCUAACACAUGCAAGUCGAACGGCAGCACGGCAGUAGCAAUACUGUGGGUGGCGAGUGGCGGACGGGUGAGGAAUACAUCGGGAUCUACCCUGUUGUGGGGGAUAACGUAGGGAAACUAACGCUAAUACCGCAUAAGAACUGAGGUUGAAAGCGGCGGACCGCAAGGCGUCGCGCGAUUGGAUGAACCGAUGUCCGAUUAGCUAGUUGGCGGGGUAAAGGCCCACCAAGGCGACGAUCGGUAGCUGGUCUGAGAGGACGACCAGCCACACUGGAACUGAGACACGGUCCAGACUCCUACGGGAGGCAGCAGUGGGGAAUAUUGGACAAUGGGCGCAAGCCUGAUCCAGCCAUGCCGCGUGGGUGAAGAAGGCCUCGGUUGUAAG